UGGGGAAUAUUUCACAAUGGGCGCAAGCCUGAUGCAGCCAUGCCGCGUGUAUGAAGAAGGCCUUCGGGUUGUAAAGUACUUUCAGCGGGGAGGAAGGGAGUAAAGUUAAUACCUUUGCUCAUUGACGUUACCCGCAGAAGAAGCACCGGCUAACUCCGUGCCAGCAGCCGCGGUAAUACGGAGGGUGCAAGCGUUAAUCGGAAUUACUGGGCGUAAAGCGCACGCAGGCGGUUUGUUAAGUCAGAUGUGAAAUCCUCGGGCUCAACCUGGGAACUGCAUCUGAUACUGGCAAGCUUGAGUCUCGUAGAGGGGGGUAGAAUUCCAGGUGUAGCGGUGAAAUGCGUAGAGAUCUGGAGGAAUACCGGUGGCGAAGGCGGCCCCCUGGACGAAGACUGACGCUCAGGUGCGAAAGCGUGGGGAGCAAACAGG
Molecule: ribosomal RNA, 429 nt
Filed under: Chloroflexota bacterium
Lineage: Bacteria; Bacillati; Chloroflexota
Description: Chloroflexi bacterium partial 16S ribosomal RNA
Rfam family: Bacterial small subunit ribosomal RNA
Source: RNAcentral